This is a non-coding RNA of Chlorobium phaeovibrioides DSM 265, 73 nucleotides long. NCBI's taxonomy places the organism in Bacteria, Pseudomonadati, Chlorobiota, Chlorobiia, Chlorobiales, Chlorobiaceae. The record is from Rfam.
AAAUCAUCCAAUGGUUGGCUGAUCGCUGACAGGUUAUGUGUGCUUUGGUUACCUGUUGAGCGUUUCUUUUUUC